AAGCACUCUAUCAAUAAGCUAUAUCCCCAGCCCCAAAAGAAAAGGUAUGUUGAGACUCAUUAACUGUAGGUUUAGUGGAAUGUACUCAUGUGGCCUGCAGUAACCUCCAGGCACAGUUAAGUUACUGCUUGCCAACCUGCGCUGAAAUGCUUUUCAGAAAUAUCUUUAACUGCCCACUGUACUACCUCACCUGGGAUGGCCACACAAAGGUAGGGGUCACAAACUGCUUGUCAUGCAAUUAAUAAUUUUUUAAGUACCAUUCUAUUUUUCUGGGUUUAGGGUAUUUAUGGUAUAUUUUCUAAAAAAAAUUUUUUAAAUAUGUAAUUUAAUUUGAUUUGCCUAUGUUUUUUACAAAAAUUAAAAGAAACAUGCAGAAAACCAGGCAAACUUCUACCUUUAAUUUAAAAAGAAAAAGAGAAGAAAGAAAACUACUGUCAGAAGUGCCCUUCCUAUUUGCUUAGAGCUCAGAGGUCCAGUUCACAGGUAGCCAGAUAAUCCCUUGUUUGUCUUCCUAAAGGGAAAUUUUUCAUUUUUUCCCCAGUACUAAGAAUUGAACCCAGGGAUACUCCAAUACUGGGGUUAUAUCCCCAGCCCUUUUUAUUUCUUAUUUUGAGGCAGGCUCACUAAAUUGCCCUGGCUGGCCUUGAACUUGCAAUCCUCUGGCCUUGGCCUCCUAAAUUGCUGAAAUUACAGACAUGAGCCACUGCACCUGGCAAAAGUAGGAAAGACAAAUGCACUAUAUGGUAAUGGUCUCUACAAAGUCAUCAAAGUCAGAAUUUCCUAUACCUAAGUAUUGGCGUCAUCUCUCCUCAAUUACAUCACAAAUUAACAGAUUUAUCUCGACUCACUAUGGACAGUCUUAUAAUACAAUCUUUCACACUAGCGCAAGUGUUUUCAGGGAACAGGUUUCUACAAGAAUUGAUGUAUUAAAGGCUAUGCACACUCAGGUUGUUCUCCAUUGUUACUAUGCGCCUAUACAUUGGGAAAUUAUGAAGCCAAAAAAUAUAAUGAUGACAAGACAUAUGGCAUGAUUUUCUUGCUUCAGAGUCCUUUCCAUUUUUUCUUUUUUAAAUUUUUUUGAUAAGCAGGUACUGCCUUUAUAAUUUUUAAAUAUUUUAAUUUUUAAAUACUAACACAAAUAUGCCAAUCCUUGAAGAAGAAACUCUGUCUUUUGCUAUUAAUAAAAGUUCUAACCAGCUGGGCAUGGUGUUGCAUGCUAUAAUUCCAGAUACUUAGAGGCUAAGGCAGGAGGAUCAUAAGUUUGAGGCAGCACAGGCAACUUAACAAGACCCUGUCUCAGAACAAAAAUUAAAAAGGGCUAGGGAUGUAACUCAGUGGUAGAGUGCAUGCCCAGUGUGCACCAGGUCCUGAGUUCCAUCCCCAACAAUGGGGGGAGAAAAAAAAAGUUUUAACUAACAUAAAGGUACUAUUUUCACCUCUCCAGGACUCAUUUCUGAAAUAGACACCAUCAUUAUGACUUUAGAAUUACUAUUUUUCUUGGCCUGCGCUGACAAUGAAUGUCUCUGUCCCUGACAUCACAUUAAUUCAGUGAUUUCUGCCUUGCUUCUGCCCUUGCAUAUUUCUAGCCCUUCCUAGAACAAGCCUAAGGUCAGGCUCAUAAAGAUCUACUUCCUGGCUGCCCAGGACAUCAGAGGAUUCUAAUGGCUCCUAUAUUUGCUCCCUAUUUACUGCUAUGAGGCAACAGUGUUCUUUAGAUAGUUGGUGCAAAAAACCAUAAGGCCCAAUUUGUAAAAGUACUAUGGGUGCUGGACUGGGGCUUUGAGGAUGAGUAGAAAGGACUUUUG
Molecule: long non-coding RNA, 1805 nt
Filed under: Marmota monax (woodchuck)
Lineage: Eukaryota; Metazoa; Chordata; Mammalia; Rodentia; Sciuridae
Source: RNAcentral